Molecule: transfer RNA, 72 nt
Filed under: Urocitellus parryii (Arctic ground squirrel)
Lineage: Eukaryota; Metazoa; Chordata; Mammalia; Rodentia; Sciuridae
Also listed under: 1 other name
Description: Spermophilus parryii (Arctic ground squirrel) tRNA
Rfam family: tRNA
About the family: Transfer RNA (tRNA) molecules are approximately 80 nucleotides in length.
Source: Rfam by way of RNAcentral
UGGGAUGUGGCUCAGUCAUAGAGCACUUGCCUGGCACUCAUGAAAUCCUGGAUUUGAUUCCCAGCACUGCAA